Molecule: ribosomal RNA, 253 nt
Filed under: uncultured bacterium
Lineage: Bacteria
Description: partial 16S ribosomal RNA
Rfam family: Bacterial small subunit ribosomal RNA
Source: RNAcentral
GACGAACCGAGCGGACGUUAUUCGGAAUCACUGGGCUUAAAGGGCGCGUAGGCGGGCCAUCAAGUCAGGGGUGAAAGCCCCCAGCUCAACUGGGGAAGUGCCUUUGAUACUGGUGGUCUCGAGGGGGAUAGGGGCGUGCGGAACUUCCGGUGGAGCGGUGAAAUGCGUAGAUAUCGGAAGGAACACCGGUGGCGAAAGCGGCGCGCUGGAUCCCUUCUGACGCUGAGGCGCGAAAGCCAGGGGAGCAAACGGG